GUUGUAUAGUCAAGUAAUUAAGUGCAUGUGGUGGAUGCCUUGGCAGUCAGAGGCGAUGAAAGACGUGAUAGCCUGCGAAAAGCUCCGGGGAGGCGGCAAAUAUCCUUUGAUCCGGAGAUGUCUGAAUGGGGGAACCCACCUACUUUAAGGUAGGUAUUGCAACAUGAAUACAUAGUGUUGCAAGGCGAACGAGGGGAAGUGAAACAUCUCAGUACCCUUAGGAAAAGAAAUCAAUUGAGAUUCCCUCAGUAGCGGCGAGCGAACGGGGAUCAGCCCAUUAAGUUAUGUGUGUUUUAGUGGAACGCUCUGGGAAGUGCGAACGUAGAGGGUGAUAUUCCCGUACACGAAAGGGCACACAUAAUGAUGACGAGUAGGGCGAGGCACGUGAAACCUUGUCUGAAUAUGGGGGGACCAUCCUCCAAGGCUAAAUACUCCUGACUGACCGAUAGUGAACCAGUACCGUGAGGGAAAGGCGAAAAGAACCCCUGUGAGGGGAGUGAAAUAGAUCCUGAAACCGCAUGCAUACAAGCAGUGGGAGCACCUUCGUGGUGUGACUGCGUACCUUUUGUAUAAUGGGUCAGCGACUUAUAUUCAGUAGCGAGGUUAACCGUAUAGGGGAGCCGUAGAGAAAUCGAGUCUUAAUAGGGCGUUUAGUUGCUGGGUAUAGACCCGAAACCAGGCGAUCUAUCCAUGAGCAGGUUGAAGGUUGGGUAACACUAACUGGAGGACCGAACCCACUGUCGUUGAAAAGCCAGGGGAUGACUUGUGGAUAGGGGUGAAAGGCUAAUCAAGCCUGGUGAUAGCUGGUUCUCCCCGAAAGCUAUUUAGGUAGCGCCUCGGACGAAUACCAUAGGGGGUAGAGCACUGUUUCGGCUAGGGGGUCAUCCCGACUUACCAAACCGAUGCAAACUCCGAAUACCUAUGAGUACUAUCCGGGAGACAGACUGCGGGUGCUAACGUCCGUAGUCAAGAGGAAAACAAUCCAGACCGCCAGCUAAGGCCCCAAAAUCAUAGUUAAGUGGGAAACGAUGUGGGAAGGCAUAGACAGCUAGGAGGUUGGCUUAGAAGCAGCCACCCUUUAAAGAAAGCGUAAUAGCUCACUAGUCGAGUCGGCCUGCGCGGAAGAUGUAACGGGGCUAAAACUAUGUGCCGAAGCUGCGGAUGUAUACUUUGUAUACGUGGUAGGGGAGCGUUCUGUAAGCCGAUGAAGGUGUGUUGAGAAGCAUGCUGGAGGUAUCAGAAGUGCGAAUGCUGACGUGAGUAACGACAAAACUGGUGAAAAACCCGUUCGCCGAAAGACCAAGGGUUCCAGUCCAACGUUAAUCGGGGCUGGGUGAGUCGACCCCUAAGGCGAGGCCGAAAGGCGUAGUCGAUGGGAAAAUGGUUAAUAUUCCAUUACUUCUGUGUAAUGCGAUGAGAGGACGGAGAAGGCUAAAUCAGCCUGGCGUUGGUUGUCCAGGUGAAAGGAUGUAGGCAUGUAUCUUAGGCAAAUCCGGGGUACUCUAUGCUGAGAUCUGAUAGCAAGCUGUACUUGUACAGCGAAGUGGUUGAUGCCAUGCUUCCAGGAAAAGUCUCUAAGCUUCAGUUACACAGGAAUCGUACCCGAAACCGACACAGGUGGUCAGGUCGAGUAGACCAAGGCGCUUGAGAGAACUCUGCUGAAGGAACUAGGCAAAAUGGUACCGUAACUUCGGGAGAAGGUACGCUGUUGUUGGUGAUGGAACUCGCUUCCUGAGCUGACGACAGCCGCAGAAACCAGGCCGCUGCAACUGUUUAUUAAAAACAUAGCACUCUGCAAACACGAAAGUGGACGUAUAGGGUGUGAUGCCUGCCCGGUGCUGGAAGGUUAAUUGAUGGGGUUAGCGUAAGCGAAGCUCUUGAUCGAAGCCCCAGUAAACGGCGGCCGUAACUAUAACGGUCCUAAGGUAGCGAAAUUCCUUGUCGGGUAAGUUCCGACCUGCACGAAUGGCAUAAUGAUGGCGGCGCUGUCUCCAGCAGAGGCUCAGUGAAAUCGAAAUCGCUGUGAAGAUGCAGUGUACCCGCGGCUAGACGGAAAGACCCCGUGAACCUUUACUGCAGCUUGACACUGAACUUUGACCUUACUUGUGUAGGAUAGGUGGGAGGCUUUGAAGCUGGAACGCAAGUUCCAGUGGAGCCGUCCUUGAAAUACCACCCUGGUAAUGUUGAGGUUCUAACUCUGUCCCGUGAUCCGGGACGAGGACCGUGUCUGGUGGGUAGUUUGACUGGGGCGGUCUCCUCCUAAAGAGUAACGGAGGAGUACGAAGGUGCGCUCAGCGUGGUCGGAAAUCACGCGUAGAGUAUAAAGGCAAAAGCGCGCUUAACUGCGAGACCCACAAGUCGAGCAGGUACGAAAGUAGGUCUUAGUGAUCCGGUGGUUCUGUAUGGAAGGGCCAUCGCUCAACGGAUAAAAGGUACUCUGGGGAUAACAGGCUGAUACCGCCCAAGAGUUCAUAUCGACGGCGGUGUUUGGCACCUCGAUGUCGGCUCAUCUCAUCCUGGGGCUGAAGCAGGUCCCAAGGGUAUGGCUGUUCGCCAUUUAAAGAGGUACGCGAGCUGGGUUUAGAACGUCGUGAGACAGUUCGGUCCCUAUCUACCGUGGGCGCUGGAAAUUUGAGAGGAUCUGCUCCUAGUACGAGAGGACCAGAGUGGACGAACCUCUGGUGUACCGGUUGUGACGCCAGUCGCAUCGCCGGGUAGCUAUGUUCGGAAGGGAUAACCGCUGAAAGCAUCUAAGCGGGAAGCCUACCUCAAGAUAAGAUUUCCCUAGGACUUUAUGUCCUCUAAAGAGCCGUUCGAGACUAGGACGUUGAUAGGUUGGAUGUGGAAGCAUAGUGAUAUGUGAAGCUGACCAAUACUAAUUGCUCGUGAGGCUUGACUAUACAACACCCAAGCAGUUG
Molecule: ribosomal RNA, 2918 nt
Filed under: Acinetobacter baumannii
Lineage: Bacteria; Pseudomonadati; Pseudomonadota; Gammaproteobacteria; Moraxellales; Moraxellaceae
Description: bacterial LSU rRNA
Rfam family: Bacterial large subunit ribosomal RNA
Source: RNAcentral